AUUGAACGCUGGCGGCAGGCCUAACACAUGCAAGUCGAACGGUAACAGGAAACAGCUUGCUGUUUCGCUGACGAGUGGCGGACGGGUGAGUAAUGUCUGGGAAACUGCCUGAUGGAGGGGGAUAACUACUGGAAACGGUAGCUAAUACCGCAUAACGUCGCAAGACCAAAGAGGGGGACCUUCGGGCCUCUUGCCAUCGGAUGUGCCCAGAGGGGAUUAGCAAGUAGGUGGGGUAACGGCUCACCUAGGCGAAGAUCCCUAGCUGGUCUGAGAGGAUGACCAGCCACACUGGAACUGGGACACGGUCCAGACUCCUACGGGAGGCAGCAGUGGGGAAUAUUGCACAAUGGGCGCAAGCCUGAUGCAGCCAUGCCGCGUGUAUGAAGAAGGCCUUCGGGUUGUAAAGUACUUUCAGCGGGGAGGAAGGGAGUAAAGUCAAUACCUUUGCUCAUUGACGUUACCCGCAGAAGAAGCACCGGCUAACUCCGUGCCAGCCGCCGCGGUAA
RNAcentral lists this ribosomal RNA (506 nucleotides) under uncultured bacterium. RNAcentral's name for it is "partial 16S ribosomal RNA". It matches the Rfam family "Bacterial small subunit ribosomal RNA", at positions 30 to 523 of the family's 1533-position model. The record is from RNAcentral.